This 331-nucleotide ribosomal RNA is filed under the name Pseudomonas sp. RNAcentral describes it as "bacterial SSU rRNA". It matches the Rfam family "Bacterial small subunit ribosomal RNA", at positions 920 to 1267 of the family's 1533-position model. The record is from RNAcentral. Lineage: Bacteria; Pseudomonadati; Pseudomonadota; Gammaproteobacteria; Pseudomonadales; Pseudomonadaceae.
CCCGCACAGCGGUGAGCAUGUGGUUUAAUUCGAAGCAACGCGAAGAACCUUCCUGGCCUGACCUGCUGAGAACUUUCCGAGAUGGAUUGGUGCCUUCGGGAACUCAGACACAGGUGCUGCAUGGCAAAAACACUCGUGUCGUGAGAUGUUGGGUUAAGUCCCGUAACGAGCGCAACCCUUGUCCUUAGUUACCAGCACGUUAUGGUGGGCACUCCUAAGGAGACUGCCGGUGCAAACCGGAGGAAGGUGGGGAUGACGUCAAGUCAUCAUGGCCCUUACGGCCAGGGCUCACCGUGCUCCAUGUGUCCAAAGGGUGGCAACCGAGGUGGAG